Myotis lucifugus (little brown bat) is the source of this 2699-nucleotide long non-coding RNA. RefSeq lists it as uncharacterized. NCBI's taxonomy places the organism in Eukaryota, Metazoa, Chordata, Mammalia, Chiroptera, Vespertilionidae. The transcript has 2 exons. The record is from RefSeq and is a predicted model, not a curated record.
CUUCUGUUGUCAGUAGCAGUGGAAGGGCCUGUAGAUGACCUCCCUGUCCCUAUAAUAGUUUCAAAUCUAUCAGCAGCAAUUCCUGCUUAGGUUCCCAUUUCUGUGUUUCAGGGAAUGUUAGUUCCUGCCUUCCCUGCCCCCACUUUCCUCUGAAAUGUGUGUGCUUUCCCACAGAAUAUUCUGCCUUAUCUGCCCUCACUAGAAUAGGAAUCAGUGUCCAUGUGAAAUGCUCCCAUCUGGCCAGGCCCCUCUACACUCUUCCUUACCACCAUUAUCAAGAGGUUCUCCCUGUAGGCUUUGGCCUAAAGAGGGGAUAGUUGACAUAUACUAUAGGCUGGGGCCUCUGUGGUCGGCUUUCUGAAUGCUCUGUAUUCCUGAGGGCCAUUGUAUGAGUGCAUGUGUGCUGUGUGCUGGGGUUGUGUCUAAUGUCAAUGUGUUUAACAGCCAGUGGAGUGGAUGUUGGCCAAAAGAGAGCAGGUUCUGGAGUCAUCCUGCUGUGGGUGGCCAGGGUGCAGGGGGACAUCAAGGGCUUGAGGCAGCAUCUGUUCCAACUGUUACAGACCUAGUUCAAAACUUUUAUUUUUUUGUCUUGUUAAUCCUCACCUGAGGCUAUGUUUUCCAUUGACUUUUAGAAAGAGUGGAAGGGACGGGGAGAGGCAGAGAGGGAAACAUCAAUGUGAGAGACUGGUUACCUCCCACAGUUACCAACCAGGCUGGGGAUUGCACUUAUAACCAAGGUAUGUACCCUUGACCAGAAUCAAACCUGCAACCCUUCAGUCCAAGGGCCAACGCUUUAAUCACUGAGAAAACCAGCCAGAGCUAGUUCAGUAUUUUAACAAACAGUUCAGUUGUACUGUGUACACUACCUGAACAUCAGCUGUGGUUGUGUGUUGUGUGUGUGUGUUGGGGGGGGGGGGGACUUAGGGUGCUGUGUCAGCCAAGGAGAAAGCCAUGAAGGGUUGUGGGACCCUCACAAAGGCUUCUGAAGCUGGGGCCAUGCACCCGGACAGUGGCAGAGGGCAUAGGUCUCACCUAGGUUCUUGGCCUUAUAAAGACAGGAGCACUGAGCAGAGAGAGUGCUGAGGCCAGGGGCUGGCCUCUCAGAACCCUGACCUCAGAAAGGGAUCUCUCGGGGGACACGUGACGGGGUUGAGGAGCACUGGAGCAAUGGCAAGGACAUCAGUUUCAGAGUAUGGAGGAUGGGACCAGAUCCACAACUCCCUCCCCAGAGUCCCCCAAAAUACUGGCCCACUUGGCUGGGUUGGGCUGGAUCUUUUAUUUCAUAUCACAUCCUCUCCACUCCCACCACUGUUCUCCAGCCUGAAGCUUCAUGGCUUACAAGGUUCCUGUGGGAUCAGCAUUUGCCAUCCUUCACGAUCUGGAUGUCCUGUUUGGUUUUCCUAGGAUCACAGGAGACAGGGAUGAGGCUACCUCCUCAGGUACUGUAAUGCACCCUUCAGGGACCUUGGCGAAGUCCAUUCAGACACCUGCUGAGCCCUACCACCCACUUAGUGUACGGUGGAGGGCAGACCCCAGGGGUGCCUGGGCAUCUCUCUAUAGCUUUUCCUUCUUGCACACAUUCCUCUGGGAGAUUUCAGCUUCCUAGGGUCUCAACCACCACAGCAUACUGAUGGCUGCAAAUCUAUCUCCAGCCCAGACUUUUGUCCUAAACUCUAGCCAUAUCUCCACUGGGAUGUCCCAGAGGUUCAACUGUCCAGAGACAUCACCCCACAAACCUGCUACAUCCCUCUGUUUCUUACCUUGGCACAUGGCACCACCAACCGCCCAAACCCACAAGUUAGAAACCAGCAUGUUUUUGCCUCCUCCAUCAUCCCUCACAUCCAAUCUCACAGCUGUCACUUCUCCCCUGAUAUAAUCCUGAGUGUUUAGUCAUGACCUAAGUUAGACUGUCCUGCUGCUCUCUUGCACAUCUGUCUAGUGCAGUAGUUCUCAACUUUCUGACCCUUUAAAUACAGUUCCUCAUGUUGUGACCCAACCAUAAAAUUAUUUUCAUUGCUACUUCAUAACUGUAAUGUUGCUACUGUUAUGAAUCAUAAUGUAAAUAUAUGAUAUGCAGGAUGGUCUUAGGCGAUCCCUGUGAAAGGGUCGUUCGACCGCCAAAGGGGUUGCGACCCACAGGUUGAGAACCGCUGGUCUAGUGCAUUCUAGCUUCCAAAGACUUUCUUCUCUUCCAUGAUCUCACUUAGCUCUGGCCAGCUCAAGUAUCUUAUUAGUGAAGACAUGAGACUAAAUGAGUGUUCAGAUGUACCAAGGUCAUAUUUUGGUCCUGCCUCUCUAGACUCAUUUCUUGCCUCUCUCCUGUUCACCUUUAAAUUUUCUAUGCCAGCAUAUCCAAUUUCUUAUAUUUCCUCAAAUAUAAACUUUCCUUUCUAGAUCUUUCCAAAACUCAUUUCUCUAUUUAGAAUUACCUUCCCUUGUUUCUUCAUUUUCCUAGCUAAUUUCUACUUACACCUCAGAGCUGGGAAGUCUGGCCUACCCUUGCCCUGUACCCAUAGAACCCUGUGUACUCCCAUCCGAACCUUUAGCAUUCUAUUCUGUAGUUAGCUAACAGUCAACGUGGCUUCCCCCUUAGACUGACUGACUGCCCCAGAAGGCCAGUAAUGCUGUCUAGCUUAUGCCCUGUUGUUUCCUCAGUGUCUAGUACAUAAUAGGUGCUCAAUAAAUAAUUGUUGACUGGA